CCUACGGGUGGCAGCAGUGAGGAAUAUUGGUCAAUGGACGAGAGUCUGAACCAGCCAAGUCGCGUGAAGGAUGACUGCCCUGUGGGUUGUAAACUUCUUUUAUAAGGGAAUAAAACGAGGCACGUGUGCCUUUUUGCAUGUACUUUAUGAAUAAGGAUCGGCUAACUCCGUGCCAGCAGCCGCGGUAAUACGGAGGAUCCGAGCGUUAUCCGGAUUUAUUGGGUUUAAAGGGAGCGUAGAUGGGUUGUUAAGUCAGUUGUGAAAGUUCGCGGCUCAACCGUACAAUUGCAGUUGAUACUGGCAGUCUUGAGUAGAGUAGAGGUAGGCGGAAUGCGCGGUGUAGCGGUGAAAUGCUUAGAUAUCACGAAGAACUCCGAUUGCGAAGGCAGCUUACU
This 395-nucleotide ribosomal RNA is filed under the name uncultured bacterium. Its description in RNAcentral is "partial 16S ribosomal RNA". It matches the Rfam family "Bacterial small subunit ribosomal RNA", at positions 338 to 730 of the family's 1533-position model. The record is from RNAcentral.